This 4155-nucleotide long non-coding RNA is filed under the name Nicotiana benthamiana. Its description in RNAcentral is "long non-coding RNA (NBEN_LNC009179)". Lineage: Eukaryota; Viridiplantae; Streptophyta; Magnoliopsida; Solanales; Solanaceae. The record is from RNAcentral.
UUACGUGCCUGGGAGUACUUUCAGCCCUCUUAUAUGUUAGCUGCAACUGUCUGUCCCUAAUUAUUUUAGUUUUGGUCCCUGGUUCUGCUGCUUUCUCUGUGCUCAAAGUACCAUUUGAGACCAAUAUAAUGAGUUCGUUUCCUCCGCCAGGCAAGUUAAUUUCUUUUCUAUUUAUCUGUUUUUUUUCCUCUUAUGGAGCUUAGUAUACCGAGCUGCCAUCUAAUUAAGUCAUAGUUUUGAAUUUGAUAUCGUUUGAUUGUUAGGGUAUGGUGCACCUCCUCCACCAGCAACUGGCGGGUACUACGGUCAGAGCUAUCCUCCGCCACCAAGUUAUCAAGGAUACUUCAAUGAUCAAUACGCUCCUCCUCCACCACCUCCUCAGCCUAUCUAUCACCACCACGAGCAUAACGGAUGUUCCUCAUUCCUCAAAGGCUGGUAUGUCAACUCUCUCGAAAGAGAUUUUCAUAUUCCCAUAAUUUAAGUAGAUGCAAGAUCUACAAAUUUAUCUUUGUAGUUGUGUAAGCAGUUUUGUUGUUUUUCCAAUAAUAGGGGCCCGUACUUCAUACAACAACAACAACUUAGUAUAUUCUUACAAAGUGGGGUCUGGGGAGGGUAAUAUGUAGGCAGGCCUUACCCCUACCCGAGAGGGUAAAGAGGCUGUUUCCAAUCGACCCUCGGCGCAGAGAAGGGAAGGGAAGGAAAACAAAAAUAAAAAUAAAAACAAAAACAAAAACAACAUUAGUAACUCCAGCAGAAAUCACAUAAAUAAUUAUCUAAACAUAAGAACCAUAAGUACCAUAAAUAAAAUGACAUGCAAUAAUAACAAUCAGUAACUAUCAAAAAUGACUACCAUAAGAGGACACAAACCAAUACACAAAGUAUUUAUGGAGAGCCCUACCAAGCCCCCCAACCCCGGGAAAGGAGUACGAAAAAUCCAGAAGCCCCUAUCCUACAACCCUAAUACUAGACCUCCAGACUUUCCUAUCAAGGGCUAUAUCCUCGGAAAUCCGCAUACUAGCCAUGUCCUGCCUAAUUACCUCUCACCAGUACCUCUUAGGCCUCCCUCUAUCUCGCCUCACACCGACCACCGCUAUCCGCCCACAACUCCUCACCGGGGCAUCAUGGGCUUCUCCUCUGCACAUGCCCAAACCUCUUGAGCCUCGCUUCUCGCAUCUUCUCAUCCACUGGGGCCACCCCCACCUUCUCCCGAAUAACUUCAUUUCUAAUCUUAUCUAACGUCCACCUAAGCAUCCUCAUCUUCGCCACCUUCAUCCUCUAAACAUGAGAGUUCUUCAACGGCCAGCACUCCAUCCUAUACAACAUGGUAGGUCUAACCACAACUCUAUAAAACUUCCCCUUGAGUUUCUGUGGCACUUUCUUGUCACACAAGACUCCUGAUGCAAGCCUCCACUUCGACCACCCCGCCCCUAUGCGGUGAGUGACAUCCCCGUCUAUCUCUCCGUCCCCCUAAAUCACCGAUUCAAGAUAUCUGAAAUUGUCCCUCUUGGCUAUGGCCUGAGAUCCAAUCUUCACGUCCCCGCCUACUCCGCUCGGCUCGGCACUAAACUUGCACUCCAGGUAUUCAGUCAUAGACCUGCUCAGUUUGAAAACCUUAGACUCGAGAGUCUGUCUCCAUGCCUCUAGCCUCUCGUUAACAACGACCCUCGUCUCGUCUAUCAAGACUAUGUCAUCAGCAAAUAGCAUACACCAAGGCACAUCCCCUUGAAUAUGAUGGGUUAGAGCAUCCACCACCAAGGCAAACAAGAGAGGGUUCAGCGCAGAUCCUUGAUGGAUCCCCAUAACCACUGGGAAAUAGUCUGAGUCGCCACCCACUGUCCUGACCCUAGUCUUAGCUCCAUCGUACAUGUCCUUGAUUACCCUGAUGUAGGCUUCCGAUACGCUCUUAGCCUCCAGGCACCUCCAUAGCACCUCCCUAGGUACCUUGUCAUACGCCUUCUCCAAGUCGAUAAACACCAUGUGCAGGUCCUUCUUCUAAUCCUGAACUGUUCCACCAAUCUCCUUACAAGGUGGAUAGCUUCUAUAGUGGAGCGGCCUAGCAUGAAACAUGUCAUUCUUCUUAUCCCUGAACUGUUCCACCAAUCUCAUGACAAGGUGGAUAGUUUCUGUAGUGGAGCAACCUAGCAUAAAACCGAAUUGGUUCACGGAUAUAGAUGACGUCACCCCCACCCUAGCCUCGAUCACCCGCUCCCAGACUUUUAUGGUGUGACUUAUUAAUUUGAUACCCCUAUUGUUGUUGCAACACUGGAUAUCCCCUUUGUUCUUGUACAAGGGCACACUGUACUCCAUCUCCACUCCUCCAGAAUCCUCUUAGUCCUAAAGAUCACAUUGAACAACCUGGACAACCACUUUACUCCUAACCUACCCAUGUAUUUCCCAAACUCCACCGAAACACUGUGCUCCACCUCCACUCCUCCGGCAUCCUUUUUCUCCUGAAGAUCGCAUUGAACAACCUGGUGAGACACUCUACUCCUGUCUUACCCGUGCAUUUCCAGAACUCCAUCGGGAUUUCGUCUAGCCCGAUCGCUCGACCCCUAUUCAUCCUACACAAAGCCCUCACGACCUCCUCCACUCUAAUGCGCUCGUACUUCAUGUGUCAAAUAAAUAAGUGCCCCCCGUAACUAUUUGUAAAUGUAUAAAUAUGACCUAAGAGUAAUACAAGUGGAAGGCUGACGACAGUAUAAUAUACUAAAGGGCAACCCGGUGCAUUAAGCUCCCGCUAUGCGCGGGAUACGGGGAAGGCCUGACCAUAAGGUUCUAUCGUACGCAUUCUUACCUUAUACUUCUGCAAGAGGCUAUUUCCACAACUCGAACCCGUAACCUCCUGGUCACAUGACAGUAUAUAUACCAGUAAAACUAAUUAUAUUUUUUUAUGAUAUUCAAGAACGUUGAUUGGUAUGUAAUACUAUAUAUCUUAGUAUAAGCAUAUAUACUUUCAUAGUCUUGAUAAGCUGUAUAUUUCUACUCCUUGAUUUCCAAUUGAACUUUCGAAUCAAUUGACAUUUGGGUUAUUACGCUGUCAAGAUUAUAAUAUCUUCCCAAAUUCAAUUGAGUCAAACUAAAGUGCUGCUGCUAAAAUUUUGCCAUUUGUAACAAGUAAUUAUUCAUAACUGAUAGAACUGAUAAUUUUUUCUACCCCAAGAUCACUGAUUUACAUAAUAAAAGCCAGUCAAUAACAAUAAUCACAGUACGUUCACAUCAAAAAUAUUUAUGGUAAAAAAGCCACAGAUAUUUAUAUGUAAGAGAUUUAUGUUUGAAGUAAACUUGCUUGGAAUUAAUGGUCAGGAAAUUCGCUCUAGUUGAACUACUUCAUCCCGCUGAAUUUUUUAGGAGUAUUAAGUUUCAUGAAGUAAGUAUGCAGUUAGACAUAUAUCACUGGUAGUUUCUAGAAUUAAACUGGUACAUUUCUAAAUUUUUGACCAAUGAUGUAAACGAAUUUGAAUAACAAAUAAUUAAGUUUAUAAUUUAAUCAUAUAACUAUGAAAAAGUUAAGUGAAAAAAAAAAUUAAUGAUCAAUCUUCAAAGAAAUGUAGUAUUUAUCAGGAUUUUACAAGUACAGUAUUAACUGCCUUAUUUUUCAGGCUAAUAGUUGCACUUAUAUAGAAAAGUUAAUUAUCCGUCGAAUUAGUAUAUUAAUUUUACGUUAUCGAUGUGUAAAAGUUAAACUAUAUUUAUUCACCUAGUGCUGAUUGCUUUUUACAGUUUGGCCGCUCUUUGUUGUUGCUGUAUUUUGGAAGAGUGCUGCUGCUGCUGUUUCUAGUUGGUUGGAUUUGCCAUCUGCCCAAAUAUCAUGUGCCUUCAGUCAAACUUUUGCUAUUUGAUGGAUUUUAAUUAUCUCAAAAUUUAAGAUGGUGAUGAUAAUUGAUAAAUAAUAAUGUUCCUAAUUAAUGGACUCUGAACUGCAAACUAUAUGUGUGGGUUUUCUUGCUUUUAAUUAUGUAUUGUUGGAGACAUGUUGGUGUAAUGAUGGAAGGACAAAUGCCAGCUAGUUAUAUUACAAAUAAUACAACUGUAUGAUUGGUUGACUUUACAAAUAAUAAUAAUAUCUUUAGCUGGAUGUUGAGAUAUUCUAUUUAAAUGUUUCAAUUUUAUCCGUAUGUGUUCUAAUGGCAUCUCCAAGGGUGCACUAUUUUUUGC